GAUGAACGCUGGCGGCGUGCCUAAUACAUGCAAGUCGAGCGAACAGAUGAGGAGCUUGCUCCUCUGACGUUAGCGGCGGACGGGUGAGUAACACGUGGAUAACCUACCUAUAAGACUGGGAUAACUUCGGGAAACCGGAGCUAAUACCGGAUAAUAUAUUGAACCGCAUGGUUCAAUAGUGAAAGACGGUUUUGCUGUCACUUAUAGAUGGAUCCGCGCCGCAUUAGCUAGUUGGUAAGGUAACGGCUUACCAAGGCAACGAUGCGUAGCCGACCUGAGAGGGGGAUCGGCCACACUGGAUCUGAGACACGGUCCAGACUCCGACGGGAGGCAGCAGUAGGGAAUCUUCCGCAAUGGGCGAAAGCCUGACGGAGCAACGCCGCGUGAGUGAUGAAGGUCUUCGGAUCGUAAAACUCUGUUAUUAGGGAAGAACAAAUGUGUAAGUAACUAUGCACGUCUUGACGGUACCUAAUCAGAAAGCCACGGCUAACUACGUG
RNAcentral lists this ribosomal RNA (497 nucleotides) under uncultured bacterium. RNAcentral's name for it is "partial 16S ribosomal RNA". It matches the Rfam family "Bacterial small subunit ribosomal RNA", at positions 28 to 507 of the family's 1533-position model. The record is from RNAcentral.